This 4203-nucleotide long non-coding RNA is filed under the name Homo sapiens (human). RNAcentral's name for it is "HSALNT0063880". Lineage: Eukaryota; Metazoa; Chordata; Mammalia; Primates; Hominidae. The record is from RNAcentral.
GGCUUUUCCAUUUCCAACAUUUUAUUGAUAUUUCAACCCGAGAGAAUUAGACUGUACAUUUUUCAAUCUUCCAAAUAACAUUCCUGAAAGAACCAAUAAUCAAUUUCUGCUUCCCUCUCAUUGGCCAGAAUUGCAUUGAACAGCCAUCCAAAUGGAAAGGUACCUUGGAACUGCUAUGUUUUAGUUGGGCACAUUUCUACCCUGAAAAGAACAGACUUCCAUCAUAAAGAAGGGGAGAUUGUUAAGGAGUGGAAAAGCCAACCUCUCCAACCUCCUCCUCCCCCUCAGCUUACUUAAUGCGAAGGCAACAAUGGUGAAGACUUUUGUGAUAAUCCACUUCCACUUAAUAAAUAGUCUCUGAGCCCAAGCCUGCACAUAUAUCCAGAUGGCCUGAAGCAACUGAAGAAUCACAAAAGAAGUGAAAAUGGCCAGUUCCUGCCUUAAUUGAUGACAUUACCUUGUGAAAUUCCUUCUCCUGGCUCAGAAGCUCCCCACUGAGCACCUUGUGACCCCUGCCCCUGCUUGCAAGACAACAACCCUCUUUGACUGUAAUUUUCCACUACCUACCCAAAUCCUAUAAAACUGUCCCACCCCUAACUCCCUUUGCUGACUCUUUUUGGACUCAGCCCACCUGCACCCAGGUGAUUAAAAAGCUUUAUUGCUCACACAAAUCCUGUUGGUGGUCUCUUCACACAGAUGCACAUGACAUUUGGUCCUGAAACAAAUUUGCCCCUGCCCCGGGCUGGCAAAUUGACUUUACUCAAAAGCCCUGAGUCAGGAAACUAAAAUACCUCUUGGUCUGGAAAGACACUUUCACUGGAUAUGUAGAGGCUUUUCCCACAAGGCCUGAGAGGGCCGCUGCAGUCAUUUCUUCCCUUCUGUUAGACAUAAUUCACUUUCUUGCUCAGCCCCAACCUCUUCCCAGACACCAGCCCUCUAGGCGACUAUCUUCCAGUCCUCCAGCAGGCUAGAUAGGAAAUUCGCUAGGUUGCUAAUCUUCUCUUGCCUACUCCAGAUUCCCAGCCAUAUAAAGACACGCUAGUGGGAAUCAGUUCUUGUUAAGAAUCCGAUCCCUCAAACUCUACAACCUCAUUGGACCAGACCCUACUUAGUCAUCUAUAAUACCCCAACUGCCUCCACCUGCAGGACCCUCCCCACUGGGUUUACCAUUCCAGAAUAAAGCUGUGUCCAUCAGACAGCCAGCUUGAUCUCUCCUCUUCCUCCUAGAAGUCGCAAGUACUUAUCCCUACUUCCCUUAAAGUCACCCACAUUUCUAAAGAACAGUAGUGACCCUUAUGAGCCUAAUACAUCCUUUCAUUUUGUUAGGUCUAUUCAUCCUUACCCUACUCUUUGCAAUAGUGCUUUAUGCAGUCACCCCUACUACUUAAACUGCAUCCUAAAAACUUUUCAUCCUUGCUGUCUUCUGUCUAGUCAUACUCUUAUUCUUCGUUCUCACUUAUCCAUGAGUGCCCACCCUUGUCUACACUACUGGCUUAUAUUUUUUCUCCAAACCAUCAUAGCUGGUCCUGGUCUUAUCCCCUAACCACCACUCUUAACUCCCUCUUACAGUGGAUAAAUGACCUUUGCUGAAAAAACACACUCCAAUUCUUUCCCCUACUUUACAUUUCUAGUUUUGCCUUACACAAGGUCUCUUCUUCCUCUGUGGCUCCUCUACCUACAUGUGUCUACCUGUUAAUUAGACAGGCACAUGUACACUAGUUUUCCUUACCCCUAAAAAUCAGUUUGCAAAUAUUACCGAACAGCUUCCUGUUCCCCUCAUGACACCAAUACUUCACCACUAUCUUGUUUUGUUUUUCUUAUUAUUAAUACAAUAAGACGGGAAUAGGUCUUGACUUACUGCUGAAAAAGGAGGACUCUGUAUAUUUUUAAAUGAAAAGUGUUGUUUUUACCUAAAUCAAUCUGGCAUGGUACAUGGCAACAUAAAAAAAAACUCAAAGAUAGGGCCCAAAAACUCACCAACCAAGCAAAUAAUCAUGCUGAACCUCCUUGGGCACUCUCUAAUUGGAUGUCCUGGGUCCUCCCAACUCUUAGUCCUCUAAUACCUGUUUUUCUCCUUCUCUUAUUCAGUCCUUGUGUCUUCCGUUUAGUUUCUCAAUUCAUACAAAACCGUAUCGAGGCCAUCACCUAUCAUUCUACACAACAAAUGCUCUUUCUAACAACCCCACAAUAUCACCCCUUACCACAAAAUCUUUCUUCAGCUUAAUCUCUCCCACUCUAGGUUCCCAUACCGCCCCUAAUCCCACUCAAAGCAGCCCUGAGAAACAUCGCCCAUUAUCUCUUCAUACCACCUCCAAAAAUUUUCACCACCCUAACACUUCACCACUAUCUGGUUUUGCUUUUCUUAUUAAUAUAAGACAGGAAUGUCAGGCCUUUGAGCCCAAGCCUGCACGUAUACAUCCAGAUGGCCUGAAGCAACUGAAGAAUCACAAAAGAAGUGAAAAUGGCCGAUUCCUGCCUUAACUGAUGAUAUUACCUUGUGAAAUUCCUUCUCCUGGCUCAGAAGCUCCCCGACUAAGCACCUUGUGACCCCCACCCCUGCCUACAGGAGAACAACUCCCUUUGACUGUAAUUUUCCACUACCUACCCAAAUCCUAUAAAACUGCCCCACCCCUAACUCCCUUUGCUGACUCUCCUUUCAGACUCACCUGCACCCAGGUGAUUAAAAAGCUUUAUUACUCACACAAAGCCUGUUGGUGGUCUCUUCACACGGAUGCGCAAGACACCCACCAUGAUUCUGAGGCCUCCCAGCCAUGUGGAACUGUAAGUCCAAUUAAACGUCUUUUUCUUCCUAGUCUUGGGUAUGUCUUUAUCAGCAGCAUAAAAAUGGCCUAAUACUGUAAACUGGUACCAAUAGAGUGGGGCGUAGCUGAAAAGAUACCUGAAAAUGUGGAAGCGACUUUGGGACAGGGUAAUAGGCAGUGGUUGGAAGAGUUUGGAGGGCUCAGAAGAAGACAGGAAAGUGUGGGAAAGUUUGGUACUUCCUAGGGACUUGUUGAAUGGCUUUGACCAAAAGCCUGAUAGUGACAUGGAAAAUAAGGUCCAGGCUGAGGUAGUUUCAGAUGGAGAUGAGGAACUUGCUGGAAACUGGAGCAAAGGUGACUCUUGUUAUGUUUUAGCAAAGAGACUGGCAGCCUUUUUUCCUUGCCCUAGAGAUUUGUGGAACCUUGAAUUUGGGAGAGAUGAUUUAGGGUAUCUGGUGGAAGAAAUUUCUAAGCAGCAAAGCAUUUAAGAAGUGACUUGGGUGCUAUUAAAGGCAUUCAGUUUUAUAAGGGAAGCAGAGCAUUAAAGUUUGGAAAAUUUGCAGCCUGACAAUAUGAUAGAAAAGAAAAACCCAUUUUGUGGGGAAAAACUCAAGCAGGCUGCAGAAAUUUGCAUAAGUAACUUGGAGCUAAAGGUUAAUCCCAAGACAAUGGGGAAAAUGUCUGCAGGGCACGUCAGAGGUUUUCACAGCAGGCCCUCCCAUCACAGGCCAGGAAGCCUAGGAGGAAAUGUUUAGUGGUCCAGGCCCAGGGUCCCAGUGCUGUGUGCAGCCUAGGGACUUGGUGCCCUGCGUCCCAGCUGCUCCAGCCGUGGCUGAAAGGGGCCAGUGUAGAGCUUGGGCCAUGGCUUCAGAGGGUGCAAGCCCCAAGUCUUGGCAGCUUCCAUGUGAUGUUGAGUCUGCGAGUGCACAGAAGUCAGGAAUUGAGGUUUGGGAACCUCAGUCUAGAUUUCAGAUGUAUGGAAAAUCCUGGAUACCCAGGCAUAAGUUUGUUGCAGGGGUGGGGCUCUCAUAGAGAACCUCUGCUAGGGCAGUACAGAAGGGAAAUGUGGAGUCUGAGUCCCUCCUGGGUCCCUGCUGGGCAUGCCCACUUCCCGUAGGGGCCACAGAGUCCUUGCUGGGGCACCACCUAGUGAAGCUGAGAGAAAAGGGCCACCAUCCUCCAGACCUCAGAAUGUUAGAUCCACCGAUAGCUUGCAUCAUUCGCCUGGAAAAGCUGCAGACACUCAGUGCCAGCCCAUGAAAGCAGCUGGGAGGGAGGCUGUACCCUGCAAAGCCACAGAGGCAGAGAUGCCCAAGACCAUAGGAACUCACCUCUUGCAUCAGUGUGACCUGGAUGUGAGACCUGAAGUCAAAAGAGAUCAUUUUGGAGCUUUAAAAUUUGACUUCCCCCCUGGAUUUUGGACUUGCAUGGGCCCUGUAAC